CUAGGUAUAGCUCAGUGGUAAAGCACAUGUUUAGUGUGCAUUAGGUCCUAGGUUCAAUCCCCAGUACCUCCA
This 72-nucleotide transfer RNA is filed under the name Camelus bactrianus (Bactrian camel). It matches the Rfam family "tRNA". From Rfam's summary of the family: Transfer RNA (tRNA) molecules are approximately 80 nucleotides in length. Their secondary structure includes four short double-helical elements and three loops (D, anti-codon, and T loops). Further hydrogen bonds mediate the characteristic L-shaped molecular structure. tRNAs have two regions of fundamental functional importance: the anti-codon, which is responsible for specific mRNA codon recognition, and the 3' end, to which the tRNAs corresponding amino acid is attached (by aminoacyl-tRNA synthetases). tRNAs cope with the degeneracy of the genetic code in two manners: having more than one tRNA (with a specific anti-codon) for a particular amino acid; and 'wobble' base-pairing, i.e. permitting non-standard base-pairing at the 3rd anti-codon position. RNAcentral also lists the same sequence under 2 other names. The record is from Rfam by way of RNAcentral. Lineage: Eukaryota; Metazoa; Chordata; Mammalia; Artiodactyla; Camelidae.